Molecule: ribosomal RNA, 254 nt
Filed under: uncultured bacterium
Lineage: Bacteria
Description: partial 16S ribosomal RNA
Rfam family: Bacterial small subunit ribosomal RNA
Source: RNAcentral
UACGUAGGGGGCGAGCGUUGUCCGGAUUUAUUGGGCGUAAAAGGCUUGUAGGUGGCCACGUCAAGUCGGAUGUGAAAUCUCCCGGCUCAACUGGGAGGGGUCAUUCGAUACUGGCGGGCUCGAGGCCGGUAGGGGGAAGCGGAAUUCCCGGUGUAGUGGUGGAAUGCGUAGACAUCGGGAGGAACACCAGUGGCGAAGGCGGCUUCCUGGACCGGUUCUGACACUGAGGAGCGAAAGCGUGGGGAGCGAUCCGG